GACGAACGCUGGCGGCGUGCUUAACACAUGCAAGUCGAACGGAAAGGCCCUGCUUUUGUGGGGUGCUCGAGUGGCGAACGGGUGAGUAACACGUGAGUAACCUGCCCUUGACUUUGGGAUAACUUCAGGAAACUGGGGCUAAUACCGGAUAGGAGCUCCUGCUGCAUGGUGGGGGUUGGAAAGUUUCGGCGGUUGGGGAUGGACUCGCGGCUUAUCAGCUUGUUGGUGUGGUAGUGGCUUACCAAGGCUUUGACGGGUAGCCGGCCUGAGAGGGUGACCGGCCACAUUGGGACUGAGAUACGGCCCAGACUCCUACGGGAGGCAGCAGUGGGGAAUAUUGCACAAUGGGCGGAAGCCUGAUGCAGCAACGCCGCGUGCGGGAUGACGGCCUUCGGGUUGUAAACCGCUUUCGCCUGUGACGAAGCGUGAGUGACGGUAAUGGGUAAAGAAGCACCGGCUAACUACGUG
This 468-nucleotide ribosomal RNA is filed under the name uncultured bacterium. Its description in RNAcentral is "partial 16S ribosomal RNA". It matches the Rfam family "Bacterial small subunit ribosomal RNA", at positions 28 to 507 of the family's 1533-position model. The record is from RNAcentral.